This 638-nucleotide ribosomal RNA is filed under the name uncultured bacterium. RNAcentral describes it as "bacterial SSU rRNA". It matches the Rfam family "Bacterial small subunit ribosomal RNA", at positions 607 to 1244 of the family's 1533-position model. The record is from RNAcentral.
GCUCAACCGAGGAAGUGCUUCGAAAACUGGUAAACUUGAGUGCAGAAGAGGAAAGUGGAACUCCAUGUGUAGCGGUGGAAUGCGUAGAUAUAUGGAAGAACACCAGUGGCGAAGGGGGCUUUCUGGUCUGUAACUGACGCUGAGAUUCGAAAGCAUGGGUAGCAAACAGGAUUAGAUACCCUGGUAGUCCAUGCCGUAAACGAUGAGUGCUAAGUGUUGGAGGGUUUCCGCCCUUCAGUGCUGCAGCUAACGCAUUAAGCACUCCGCCUGGGGAGUACGACCGCAAGGUUGAAACUCAAAGGAAUUGACGGGGGCCCGCACAAGCGGUGGAGCAUGUGGUUUAAUUCGAAGCAACGCGAAGAACCUUACCAGGUCUUGACAUACCAUGGGGAAGCUUAGAGAUAAGUCUUUCCCUUCGGGGACAUGGAUACAGGUGGUGCAUGGUUGUCGUCAGCUCGUGUCGUGAGAUGUUGGGUUAAGUCCCGCAACGAGCGCAACCCUUAUUAUCAGUUGCCAGCAUUCAGUUGGGCACUCUGGUGAGACUGCCGGUGACAAACCGGAGGAAGGUGGGGACGACGUCAAAUCAUCAUGCCCCUUAUGACCUGGGCUACACACGUGCUACAAUGGUCGGUACAACG